Molecule: long non-coding RNA, 1439 nt
Organism: Symphalangus syndactylus (siamang)
Lineage: Eukaryota; Metazoa; Chordata; Mammalia; Primates; Hylobatidae
Source: RefSeq, a predicted model, not a curated record
AAAGGGACCGCGGCUCCGACUUGCCAGAAGCAGCUUUGGGUUGCGGCACAGACUGAGCCUCUGCCCAGCCCCAGGGGACGACGAAAGGCCCCUGGUCUCUCAUCCCCAGCUUUCGGGCCCUAGAAGUCGCAGGAGCGCUCCCUGUGACCCCCUCCCCGAGAUCGGCUCCCUUUGCCUAGGGAGCGCCCAGGACCUGCCCCUGCCCUCCUCUGGACCUCAGCUUCACCAUCCGCAAAGGAAGCAGCCUCGCUAGAGCUCUGGGGUCCCUCAAGCUCGGCGUCUCAGGAUCCAGGAUGAGACCAUCUAGUUACAGAAAAAUAAGCUCAGAGCUUCCACGGAUUCUACAUUAUGGAUAUGUGCCACCGAAGCAAGCACAAAGCCCUACUCUUACACAUGAUUAGUGAUGAGUCAUGGACAAGGCUUGGCUCUGUUAAGUCCAACUAACCUACUUGAGAUUCUGAGAAUUCUCUUCAAUGGCUUCCUGUGAGCUAGAAUUUGAAAAUAUUUUAAAAUCUUGAGCUAGAGAUGGAAGUAGCUUGGACGAUUUUCAUUAUCAUGUAAAUCAGAUCACUCAAGGGGCCAACCACAGCUGGGAGUCACUGCUCAGGGGAAGGUUCAUAUGGGAUUUUCUACUGCCCAAGGUUCUAUACAGGAUAUAAAGGUGCCUCACAGUACAGAUCUGGUAGCAAAGAAGAAGAAACAAACACUGAUCUCUUUCUGCCACAUUAUUUGAACCCCUCUGACCCUUUAGAACAAGCCCACCCAAUACCUGCUAGAGAAAAGACCAACAACGGCCUCAAAGGAUCUCUUACCAUGAAGGUCUCAGCUAAUUCUUGGCUAAGAUGUGGGUUCCACAUUAGGUUCUGAAUAUGGGGGGAAGGGCCAAUUUGCUCACUUUGUGUGUGGUUUAUAAAGUCAGGACGCCCAGCAGCCAGAGCAGGGGGCUGGUGCUUUGGGAACAAUGGCUGAGCAUAUAAGCAUAGGUAUGGGAACUAAAAAACGUUGUACUUCAAAGUCACUGUAUGAAUCGCCAUGAAGACUUGAGGGACCUGAAUCUACCGAUUCAUCUUAAGGCAGCAGGACCAGUUUGAGUGGCAACAAUGCAGCAACAGAAUCAAUGGAAACAACAGAAUGAUUGCAAUGUCCUUUUUUUUUCUCCUCCUCCUGACUUGAUAAAAGGGACUGUCUUCCUUGGAUUUAGUGAACCCCUUCGGUUCCUGAAAAAUUCAAGGAGUAUAUAGGACAUAGUCCCCAGAAGACAGUACAAGACUUUCUGAUAAACUGGACAUUUCCAGGCCCAAAUAACUAAUCAGAAAAAUCAAAGAUGUGACACUAUUUUUUAUCCCAUGCAUAGGUGUUACACUUGGAUGAAAUGAACAAUGUUGGGAUCUCUAAGGAUAAAGGUCUUAAAAGUCUUGACAUAAAGAAUCCUGCACCCA